AAAGGAUGGUGGUAUAGUCCAAGCACUUAGUAAUAAGUGGUGUUAGCGUGAGACAGGUUGGUCCCUAUCUACCGUAGGCGCCGAGGCUUGCGGGGAGUCUUUCCUAGUACGAGAGGACCGGAAAGAACUAACCUCUGGUGUCCCAGUUGUCCUGCCAAGGGCAAGGCUGGGUAGCUAAGUUAGGACAGGAUAAGAGCUGAAAGCAUCUAAGCUCGAAGCCUACCCCAAGAUUAGGCCUCAUUAAGACCCCUCGGAGACCACGAGGUUGAUAGGCUCUAGGUGUAAGUCCCGCAAGGGAUUAAGCCGAGGAGUACUAAUGGUCAAUCUGCAAUUUCAU
Molecule: ribosomal RNA, 337 nt
Filed under: bacterium
Lineage: Bacteria
Description: partial 23S ribosomal RNA
Rfam family: Bacterial large subunit ribosomal RNA
Source: RNAcentral